UACGGCUGGGACACCGCUGGGCUGUCCGCUGACCCCGAGACCUUCGCCAAGAACCGCGAGUUGGAGGUCAUCCACUCCCGCUGGGCCAUGCUCGGCGCGCUCGGCUGCGUCUUCCCCGAGCUGCUCGCCCGCAACGGCGUCAAGUUCGGCGAGGCCGUCUGGUUCAAGGCCGGCUCCCAGAUCUUUAGCGAGGGCGGCCUCGACUACCUCGGCAACCCCAGCCUUAUCCAUGCGCAGAGCAUCCUCGCCAUCUGGGCCUGCCAGGUCGUGCUCAUGGGCGCCGUCGAGGGCUACCGCAUUGCCGGCGGCCCACUCGGCGAGGUCGUCGACCCGCUCUACCCCGGCGGCAGCUUCGACCCCCUCGGCCUGGCCGACGACCCUGAGGCCUUCGCCGAGCUCAAGGUCAAGGAGCUCAAGAAUGGCCGCCUCGCCAUGUUCUCCAUGUUCGGAUUCUUCGUCCAGGCCAUCGUCACCGGCAAGGGCCCGCUCGAGAACCUGGCCGACCACCUCGCCGACCCAGUCAACAACAACGCCUGGGCCUACGCCACCAACUUCGUCCCCGGCAACUAAGC
This 572-nucleotide long non-coding RNA is filed under the name Setaria italica (foxtail millet). Its description in RNAcentral is "long non-coding RNA (SITA_LNC001525)". The record is from RNAcentral. Lineage: Eukaryota; Viridiplantae; Streptophyta; Magnoliopsida; Poales; Poaceae.